CCCUUAACUAUUAAAAGUUUUAUUUUGGUCCUUUAACUUACUUUUUGGUUUCGUUUUGGUCCCUUAACUCUUUCUCCGUCAACCACUUUGGUCCUUUAUGUUAGGAUGAAUGUAUUAGAGUUAAGGGACCAAAAUGAAACCAAAAAAUAAGUUAAGGGACCAAAAUUAAACCAAAAAAUAAGUUAAGGGACCAAAACGAAACUUUUAAUAGUUAAGGGACCAAAAGAAAACCCAAAAAUAAGUUAUGGGACCGAAACGAAACUUUUAAUAGUUAAGGAA
RNAcentral lists this microRNA precursor (279 nucleotides) under Medicago truncatula (barrel medic). RNAcentral describes it as "MIR2655 microRNA precursor family". It matches the Rfam family "MIR2655 microRNA precursor family". Lineage: Eukaryota; Viridiplantae; Streptophyta; Magnoliopsida; Fabales; Fabaceae. The record is from Rfam by way of RNAcentral.